GGGCCUAUAGUUCAAUGGAUAGAAUGACAGGUUUCGGCCCUGUUGAUCGAGGUUCAAGUCCUCGUAGGCCCA
This 72-nucleotide transfer RNA is filed under the name Candidatus Pacearchaeota archaeon. Its description in RNAcentral is "tRNA-Arg". It matches the Rfam family "tRNA". From Rfam's summary of the family: Transfer RNA (tRNA) molecules are approximately 80 nucleotides in length. The record is from RNAcentral. Lineage: Archaea; Nanobdellati.